Molecule: transfer RNA, 65 nt
Filed under: Dipodomys ordii (Ord's kangaroo rat)
Lineage: Eukaryota; Metazoa; Chordata; Mammalia; Rodentia; Heteromyidae
Rfam family: tRNA
About the family: Transfer RNA (tRNA) molecules are approximately 80 nucleotides in length. Their secondary structure includes four short double-helical elements and three loops (D, anti-codon, and T loops).
Source: Rfam by way of RNAcentral
GGUGGCUCAGUGGUAGAGCGCUCGCCUGGCGGGCAGGAGGCCCCGGGUUCGAGUCCUCGGCACCA